This 216-nucleotide ribosomal RNA is filed under the name Glomeromycotina sp. Its description in RNAcentral is "partial small subunit ribosomal RNA". The stretch from base 40 to 216 matches the Rfam family "Eukaryotic small subunit ribosomal RNA", at positions 686 to 864 of the family's 1831-position model. Lineage: Eukaryota; Fungi; Glomeromycota. The record is from RNAcentral.
GGGUCAGUAGGUUGGUCGUGCCACCGGUACGUACUGGUCUCACUGAUUCCUCCUUCCUGAAGAACCGUAAUGCCAUUAAUUUGGUGUUGCGGGGAAACAGGACUGUUACUUUGAAAAAAUUAGAGUGUUUAAAGCAAGCUAACGCUUGAAUACAUUAGCAUGGAAUAAUGGAAUAGGACGACCGAUCCUAUUUUGUUGGUUUCUAGGAUUGACGUA